GUUGAUGCAAAAAAAUAAAAAACUAGUGGGCUGACGGGUCAGAAAACUUAACGUGGUUUAAUUGGUUUUUCAAGUCUGCUAUCAAUAAGUGGCAUUUGUGUUUGUCUAUAUCCAUCUCCAUCAGUGCAAGGCAAGGAUCACAUGUAAAAGGAUAAUGGACGUAUGUCAUGAUAAGACACAUAAGCUAUCCAAGUUUGCAACGGAGGAAGAUUUUAUUAGCCGCAUGCCAGAUAAUGUCAUUACUAAUGUUUUAGAUUGUUUGCCAAUACAAGAUUCGGUGAAGACUGUUAUCCUGUCCAAAAAGUGGAGGCUCAAGUGGACUUUGCUAACUCAACUCGUAUUUGAUGGCAAGUUCUAUAAGUACUUUCUAGGACCUGAUAAGGAACAAAAGUAUAAUGGGAGGGAUAUAAUAGGCUAAAUACGAGAAAGAUGUACCACCUCCUGCACUUUCUUCCUCAUAUUUUGUCUGCAGCUCAAUGGAACAGCUUCAACUGCGGACUGUGGUGUUUGAGCGUGUAAGAGGUUCAGAGAAUGAAGUGUAUUUGAUAAAGUCUUUACUUGCUUGUUCCCCUCUGCUAAGUAAGAUUAAUAUUUGGCUCAAAUCAUCUUCAAUGGUUGGUGGGUCUGAUGGAAAGUUUAUGUUUGCAUGCAAGUUAUUGAAGCUCUAUCGAGCCUCUCCCAUUGUCGAUAUAAAUCUCUACUAGUUUUAGUAUUCUAAACUUAUCUUCUGUUACAUGUGGUUUUGUGCGAGUCUAGUAAACUUGAUAUGGCAUAUGCAGAUGCACUCUUUGAUAUGCAAUUUAAGUGAAACUGUCGUUUAGCUAUGGCUAUGGUUCCUGUUUUGUUACACUGUUUUGUAUCUUAUGAUUUGUGGUUGUAGAGUCUUGUUGGUGUUGAAGCACCGUUUG
Molecule: long non-coding RNA, 908 nt
Organism: Erigeron canadensis
Lineage: Eukaryota; Viridiplantae; Streptophyta; Magnoliopsida; Asterales; Asteraceae
Exons: 3
Source: RefSeq, a predicted model, not a curated record